Long non-coding RNA from Stegodyphus dumicola, 778 nucleotides. Lineage: Eukaryota; Metazoa; Arthropoda; Arachnida; Araneae; Eresidae. The record is from RefSeq and is a predicted model, not a curated record.
UGUGUAUUAAAUUGCAUUCAAUUAUGACGAUUCCUUCUUGGUGUUGCAAUUUUCACAAACCAAAGGUCUCCAGGGCUAUCUGCCUAAGGAGAAGGAUGCCUUCGUGAAGCAAUUUCUAAGGGAAAUUGGGUGGAAUUGGAAAACAACAAAACUCCUUGCUGCCAGCCCGUUCGCUAGAACCGAAUUACCUGUGUUAAGUAACUUCACUGCUCUGCCACUCGUGGUGUUAUAUUUAUAACUGACUUAACCCCUUUGUGAUGAGCAUCUCAGUCACCAAAGCGCUUUCUUGGGACGGCAUGCUAAAAGAUCUUGUUGGGUGGAGCAAUCUGCACUGUUGUUCCAAUUUUUGCAACAUUAUCAGAGGGACACCCAGUAAAGGGACCUGUUUCCGCUCUGCACCGGUUCGCUCCUGCUUAAACAUGCUUAGUGCAGAGACCUGAUCGACAAAGGGAGACAUUGAGGACAGUACCUCCCAAGCUCAUGCCGUCCAGAAGCCCAGACCUCCAAAGCAGCUGGAUUACAGCACCACGCCGCCGAUGCCGGUUUCAUAUUAUUCCCAAAUGAAGUUGGAUCUUCCAGAUCAUAUGCUUUCAUUCCAAACUUUAUAUUGAACUCAACUUAACUCAGUUAUUGAUUUUGUGUCUUUAAGAUUUCUAGUUUCAUUAUAUUCCCAAAUGAAGUUGGAUGUUUAAGAUCAGCCAUAUGCUUUCAUUCCAAACUUUAUAUUGAACUCAGCUUUACUCAGUUGUUGAUUUUGUGUCUUUAAGAUUUCUAGUAA